ACCAGGAUGCCAUGACCAGACUUGGGAGUUGGAGCCAGACGCUGGGGCCCGGUUGCCAGAGGCCAGAGACAGGAACUGAAACGGAUCCUCCCAUUGUAACAAACCUGUGAUUCAAUAAGAUAAAACCCAUGUCUCUCUAAAUGCAGACUUCAAAAUCUUGCCAAGCCCAGCAGCAAUGGGCCAAAGACAGAGUGAACAAAAAGGAUGCUGACCAUGGAGGCAGACGUCCAUGAUCUCUCCCUCAGCUGCCACAGG
This is a long non-coding RNA of Phyllostomus discolor (pale spear-nosed bat), 255 nucleotides long. RefSeq lists it as uncharacterized. The record is from RefSeq and is a predicted model, not a curated record. NCBI's taxonomy places the organism in Eukaryota, Metazoa, Chordata, Mammalia, Chiroptera, Phyllostomidae. The transcript is spliced from 3 exons.